This 496-nucleotide ribosomal RNA is filed under the name uncultured bacterium. RNAcentral's name for it is "partial 16S ribosomal RNA". It matches the Rfam family "Bacterial small subunit ribosomal RNA", at positions 28 to 506 of the family's 1533-position model. The record is from RNAcentral.
GAUGAACGCUGGCGGCGUGCCUAAUACAUGCAAGUAGAACGCUGAAGCUUGGUGCUUGCACCGAGCGGAUGAGUUGCGAACGGGUGGGUAACGCGUAGGUAACCUGCCUGGUAGCGGGGGAUAACUAUUGGAAACGAUAGCUAAUACCGCAUGACAACAGUUAUUGCAUGAUAACUGUUUAAAAGGGGCAAUUGCUCCACUACCAGAUGGACCUGCGUUGUAUUAGCUAGUUGGUGAGGUAACGGCUCACCAAGGCGACGAUACAUAGCCGACCUGAGAGGGUGAUCGGCCACACUGGAACUGAGACACGGCCCAGACUCCUACGGGAGGCAGCAGUAGGGAAUCUUCGGCAAUGGACGGAAGUCUGACCGAGCAACGCCGCGUGAGUGAAGAAGGUUUUCGGAUCGUAAAGCUCUGUUGUAAGAGAAGAACGAGUGUGAGAGUGGAAAGUUCACACUGUGACGGUAUCUUACCAGAAAGGGACGGCUAACUACGU